RNAcentral lists this ribosomal RNA (253 nucleotides) under uncultured bacterium. RNAcentral's name for it is "partial 16S ribosomal RNA". It matches the Rfam family "Bacterial small subunit ribosomal RNA", at positions 524 to 776 of the family's 1533-position model. The record is from RNAcentral.
UACGAGCGGCCCAAACGUUAUUCGGAAUUACUGGGCUUAAAGAGUUCGUAGGCGGCGCAGUAAGUAGGGUGUGAAAGCCCUCGGCUCAACCGAGGAAUUGCGCCCUAAACUACUGUGCUUGAGGAACCUAGAGGUGAGCGGAACUGAUGGUGGAGCGGUGAAAUGCGUUGAUAUCAUCAGGAACACCGGAGGCGAAGGCGGCUCACUGGGGGUUUUCUGACGCUGAGGCGCGAAAGCGUGGGGAGCGAUCCGG